Molecule: non-coding RNA, 561 nt
Organism: Peromyscus maniculatus bairdii (prairie deer mouse)
Lineage: Eukaryota; Metazoa; Chordata; Mammalia; Rodentia; Cricetidae
Source: RefSeq, a predicted model, not a curated record
UGCUCUUCCUAUUUCAGACCUGGAGUUCUACUCUAAUUCAGAACUGAGCAGCAGGAUGGCAGACAACAGUGUGUGGUGAGUGUGCAGACCAUAGGGCACUGGUGAGUGCCUACCAUUUGCCAGUAAGCCACAGAGUCAGACCGCAUCCUCUGUGGGCAAACUAGCUUUAGUAUGGGGGAGGGUGGGAAGGUGGGCGUGGGCUGGUGAAGGUAGUGGGGCCGUGAUAGCAAAGCUUUCAUAACUUCUUUCUCUUCAACAAAGACUGAGCUCGCCUCUUGCUGUCAGUAAAGAAGUUGUUCCUAAACUUUGCAUCGCUGAAGCUCACCCACACAGUGAGAUGUGCUGUCUUCCCCUCCCUCGGGAACAUUGGCCUGCAAUACCUCGGUGUCCAGCGGCCCUCAGUGCCUGACAGCUCUGACCUUAUCAAACCCUUGUGCUGACUGCGGGGGACCUGAGCUCCCUUCCCUGAAUCACGGCCUCCAUGUAGUCUUCCUUGUGUCCUCCCUAUGUAAACGUGGUUAAUGCUUCCUGGCUGUAGUGGGUAGCACGCAAAUAAGAAUU